This 253-nucleotide ribosomal RNA is filed under the name uncultured bacterium. Its description in RNAcentral is "partial 16S ribosomal RNA". It matches the Rfam family "Bacterial small subunit ribosomal RNA", at positions 524 to 776 of the family's 1533-position model. The record is from RNAcentral.
UACAGAGGUCUCAAGCGUUGUUCGGAUUCAUUGGGCGUAAAGGGCGCGUAGGCUGCGGGGCAAGUCGGGUGUGAAAUCUCAGAGCUCAACUCUGAAACUGCACUCGAUACUGCUUUGCUUGAGGACUGGAGAGGAGAUUGGAAUUCACGGUGUAGCAGUGAAAUGCGUAGAGAUGUGGAGGAACACCAGUGGCGAAGGCGACUCUUUGGCCUGUAACUGACGCUGAGGCGCGAAAGCGUGGGGAGCAAACAGG